AUUGAACGCUGGCGGCAUGCUUUACACAUGCAAGUCGAACGGCAGCACGGGUGCUUGCACCUGGUGGCGAGUGGCGAACGGGUGAGUAAUGCAUCGGAACGUAUCCAAUAAUGGGGGAUAACGCACCGAAAGGUGUGCUAAUACCGCAUACGCCCUGAGGGGGCAAGUGGGGGACCGUAAGGCCUCACGUUAAUGGAGCGGCUGAUGCCUGAUUAGCUAGUUGGUGAGGUAAAGGCUCACCGAGGCGACGAUCAGUAGCUGGUCUGAGAGGACGAGCAGCCACACUGGGACUGAGACACGGCCCAGACUCCCACGGGAGGCAGCAGUGGGGAAUUUUGGACAAUGGGCGCAAGCCUGAUCCCGCCAAGCCGCGUGAGUGAAGAAGGCCUUCGGGUUGUAAAGCUCUUUCGCAAGGAAAGAAAACUUAUCCCCUAAUACGGGAUGAGGAUGACGGUACCUUGAUAAGAAGCACCGGCUAACUACGUGCCAGCAGCCGCCGUAA
RNAcentral lists this ribosomal RNA (502 nucleotides) under uncultured bacterium. RNAcentral describes it as "partial 16S ribosomal RNA". It matches the Rfam family "Bacterial small subunit ribosomal RNA", at positions 30 to 523 of the family's 1533-position model. The record is from RNAcentral.